CUCAAUUUUCUCUCUUCUCAUCCUCCACCAGUCGCUCCAAAAUGGAUGUGCGCCGGCGACCUACCUCUGGAAAAACCAUCCACUCUGUGAAACUUAAAUCGGUGGAGGAUGAGAGUGCCCAGAAGCCCUCUGAUGCAUUACCUCUCCCUCUGUACCUAAUCAAUGCUCUCUGCUUUACCGUUUUCUUUUAUGUUGUUUAUUUUCUGCUCAGCCGCUGGCGUGAGAAGAUUCGCACAUCUACCCCUCUACAUGUCGUUGCUCUCUCCGAAAUUGCUGCUAUUGUUGCUUUCGUUGCUUCCUUCAUUUACCUACUUGGCUUCUUUGGUAUUGACUUUGUUCAGUCCCUGAUAUUACGCCCUCCUACAGAUAUGUGGGCUGUGGAUGAUGAUGAGGAGGAGACGGAGGAAGGGAUUGUACUCAGGGAAGAUACCCGGAAAUUGCCAUGUGGGCAAGCUCUCGAUUGCUCUC
This 468-nucleotide unclassified non-coding RNA is filed under the name Hevea brasiliensis (rubber tree). The record is from RNAcentral. Lineage: Eukaryota; Viridiplantae; Streptophyta; Magnoliopsida; Malpighiales; Euphorbiaceae.